This 588-nucleotide ribosomal RNA is filed under the name uncultured bacterium. RNAcentral describes it as "partial 16S ribosomal RNA". It matches the Rfam family "Bacterial small subunit ribosomal RNA", at positions 355 to 1375 of the family's 1533-position model. The record is from RNAcentral.
UGGGGAAUUUUGGACAAUGGGCGAAAGCCUGAUCCAGCAAUGCCGCGUGUGUGAAGAAGGCCUUCGGGUUGUAAAGCACUUUUGUCCGGAAAGAAAUCCUUGGCUCUAAUACAGUCGGGGGAUGACGGUACCGGAAGAAUAAGCACCGGCUAACUACGUGCCAGCAGCCGCGGUAAUACGUAGGGUGCAAGCGUUAAUCGGAAUUACUGGGCGUAAAGCGUGCGCAGGCGGUUUGCUAAGACCGAUGUGAAAUCCCCGGGCUCAACCUGGGAACUGCAUUGGUGACUGGCAGGCUAGAGUAUGGCAGAGGGGGGUAGAAUUCCACGUGUAGCAGUGAAAUGCGUAGAGAUGUGGAGGAAUACCGAUGGCGAAGGCAGCCCCCUGGGCCAAGUACUGACGCUCAUGCACGAAAGCGUGGGGAGCAAAACAGGAUUAGAUACCCUGGUAGUCCACGCCCUAAAACGAUGUCAACUAGUUGUUGGGGAUUCAUUUCCUUAGUAACGUAGCUAACGCGUGAAGUUGACCGCCUGGGGAGUACGGUCGCAAGAUUAAAACUCAAAGGAAUUGACGGGGUCAUAGCUGUUUCCU